UACGAAGGGGGCGAGCGUUAUUCGGAAUCACUGGGCGUAAAGCGUGCGUAGGCGGUUUUGUAAGUUGGAAGUGAAAGCCCAGGGCUCAACCCUGGAAUUGCUUUCAAAACUACAAGACUAGAAAUCGGGAGAGGAUAGCGGAAUUGUCAGUGUAGCAGUGAAAUGCGUAGAUAUUGACAGGAACACCAGUGGCGUAGGCGGCUAUCUGGACCGACUUUGACGCUGAGGCACGAAAGCGUGGGGAUCAAACAGG
RNAcentral lists this ribosomal RNA (253 nucleotides) under uncultured bacterium. Its description in RNAcentral is "partial 16S ribosomal RNA". It matches the Rfam family "Bacterial small subunit ribosomal RNA", at positions 524 to 776 of the family's 1533-position model. The record is from RNAcentral.